GUGUGUGGCGUCUCUCCGAACCCCCUCGACUGUCCGGACUUCUUCGAUAAUAAACUUCUGCAUUCAUCUACCGGGCCACCCCAAAAGCUCUCUGGGCCUCACUGCCAGUCGACCUUCUAUAGUAAUCAACUAUUCUCCGAAUCCCUUCUGGAUCCCAACCGAGCUCCCGCGAGAGCCGAACUUCUGCUACGAGCGGUCUACUCUGAAUUCCUAUAGUGGGCUGUUUACCCCAGAUAUCUGCUGUAAGCAAAUUCCAUUCGAGCCUCUACUAUAAAUAAAUUUCUUUCGAACUUCUAUUACAGAUAGACUUCAGUCGAGCUUCUUCGUAGCCGGAUCCCAAACGAGCUUCUACCAUGGGGCAGGAUCCACCGGCC
RNAcentral lists this long non-coding RNA (374 nucleotides) under Elaeis guineensis (African oil palm). RNAcentral describes it as "long non-coding RNA (EGUI_LNC065302)". The record is from RNAcentral. Lineage: Eukaryota; Viridiplantae; Streptophyta; Magnoliopsida; Arecales; Arecaceae.